RNA transcript from Acinonyx jubatus (cheetah), 3404 nucleotides. It is a transcript of the gene named golgi associated RAB2 interactor family member 2, with no coding region annotated. The transcript has 10 exons. Lineage: Eukaryota; Metazoa; Chordata; Mammalia; Carnivora; Felidae. The record is from RefSeq and is a predicted model, not a curated record.
AUUUUGAGAUAGAGACAGCACGGUGGGGGAGGGGCAGAGAGAGAGGGAGGGAGCGAAUCCCAAGCAGGCUCCACAUAUGUGCAGAGCCCGAUAUGUCUAGAAUACACCAGACGCUGGAAGCAUGAAGACACCUCUGCCCUCUAAGAAUGCUACAGUCUUUUGAAGCUUUUCUUUACAGAAGCUCAAAGUGAUUUAACUAUGUUGAAGUUUCAGAAAAUUGGGAUGUAAGGAAAUUGAUGAAUUAUCAAUUGAAUGGUAAACAGUAUAAAGUGUCUUCAACUUUCUCAGCAUGGUAUCUUUUCCAUGGUGAUUCUACUGCUAAGUUGACUUUUUUCUCCAAAGAAGCCUCUGUAAACUUCACAGACAACCAGAAGUACCGCUCCCCAGCUGCCAGUGGGAAUGCUGGCAACACUUGAUCUCAGCAGCUGACGUUCAGGGCUGCUCCUUCCCAGGGCUCUUCUCUUACUUCAGAGACUAUGUCAACACAUUGUGAUGCAGGAGCAAUAGAACAAUGCCCAGAGCAGCCUGGCCUCCUCUGCUUCUUUUACUAAGUGGUUAGUUGCCUACCUGGUAGACAUAAACACCUUCUGACAAAGAAAUGUGAAAAGAGUUGGAAACCUGCUGUUUGGAGACUAUUCUCCUACUAGACAUCCAAGAGAUCUCCAGAGAUCUAUUUCAGCCUCACAUCUAUGUCAACCAUGAGCUAUGAACUUGUGACUGUCUGGUUCCACUCACCAAAAGACCAUGAUUAGAAUCAUUGACAACAGCUCAGCUCAGAUAUAAACAGCAGCCCUCUGAGCACUUCACCCACCUUGCUUCGUUAGGAAAACUCUUUUUAAGGCAUGGACCUCUCAGACUUCACCAUGAAAAGGAGGAAGCCCAGACUGAAAUGAGUUAAAACCUUCAUCUUGGAGAGAGGAUUGUGGCUUGGCCCUGAGUUAAGUAAGCACCAUGAAGAAGAACAAUAGGAACUCUACCACAAGGAUCAAUAAGCAAGAUGCCAUCUCCGUCCCACCCUUCCAAGAUGCAGGAGAUCUUCAAAAUAUGUUGGAUGGAGGAGAGUAUGCCCCUUUUGUAUCUCCUCCCAUAUUAGAGAGCAAUUUUCUCCAGGUUAAUAGGAGAGGUGAGUCCAUUUACCUUCACAACCGAGCCAACUGGGUGACUGUAGGCAUCUGCUCUUCCAGUAGCACCCACAAGACCCCCAAUGUGAUGCUUCUGGCACAUCUGACACCUGAAGCCCAGAAAAAUACAGAACCCCUAUUUCAAAGGCUCCUGACAUCUCCUUCUCCAGAGAACCUGGUGCUCACCAGGUUUCUUCCUCUACAGUUUGUGACUCUUUCUGUGCACGAUGCUGAGACUAUGCGCCUCAAAGUAAAGCUGGUCAGUGGUCGAGCCUACUACCUGCAGCUCUGUGCCCCUGCAUGUAAACAGGACACCCUAUUUUGUCAAUGGGUGGAACUCAUCUCCCUCUUGAAUCAGGAGAAAGCCAAAGCUUCCAAACUGUCAGAAGUCUCAAGCCUCUCGGAAAUCACCAAUAGCACAGAUAUCACAGGUUCAGUGGACAUCAUGGAUAUUGCAGCAUUUGCAGCCAUACAGACCCUGCACAUGUACACAUGUUCAGACCCUGUACAUGCCAUAGAAAGCAUUGAUUUCUCAGAAUUCACAGAUGUCACCGAUGUCACAGACAUCACAGAUGUUCCAGAAAAUGAGGUCACAGAGGCCCCAGAUAUAAAAAUUGUCACAGAAGUCACAGAAGUCACGGAUGUCUGUGAUGUCCCAAACAACUCGGAGGUUACAGUGGUGUUUGAAAACGAUGACAUACUAAGGGCCAAGCAAGAGGAAAAGGAAAAAAUGGAAAACAUUCUGAAGCCUGGGUGUCUACGAGAUACAAAAAUUAAGAAUGAAUGCAAAGAAUCCUCAAAACAUGUCACCAUCUCAAAUGUAACACUGACUUUCGAAGGUGAACGAUGUUUUCAUUCUACUUUGACUCCAGAAGAAAGUGACAUAAAUUCAUUCAAAAGGAUGAGCAUUACUAGAACAUCUGAAAUAAGGACAACUGAUUUUAGCAACACGGCUCUCAAUGCUGAGGAAUCCAGGAGCAUGAGAACUGAUUCAGGCACUUCAGGCUUGCAUAGUAUUUUGAUUUUCCCUCUGCUUAGCAUUUCUUUCCCCCUUUUUACAGUCCUCUAAAUCACUUCUUUUUGCCCUUUCAUACCCUUACUCACACUUAACACUUUUUACCCCAAAAAGAGCAAGGAUUAGUAGAAUCUUAAUCCCUUGUUCCAUUGAAUUUAGACUAAAUGUAGACUAAAAAUGAGUCUGUGAAUCUGAUUUCUAUUCUAGACAGUAGCCAGAAUAGUAACUGCUCCCCACUGCAAUAAAACAAAACCCUGGUCCUAUUAACCUGGUCAGAUUCACAUUCACCCAACUCCAGGCAAUGCUACCUGAGGACCAUGGUCUCUUAUUCAUGUCUCAAACCACUCAGCAGUUUGACAAAAGGACACUUUUUCUCCUUUCUGAGUAAGGCUUUGGGUAAAGUGGACUCUGAAUGUACUGUUUUCAUGAAAAGGCUGCAGGAAGAACCUAGGCUAACACUGUCUCUCAGGAUCUGGGUCCAUCUGUCCCUUUUCUUGACUUUUAAUUUCUUACCUAUCUAGGUUUUACUCACUUUAGCUCUGUUGAUCUCUUUACGCUGAGCCCAAACUUAGGCUUACCUUUGACCCUAUAGUAUUUUCCCAAGAUGGAAAGCAAUCAGACAAAGGAUAGACAUCCAAGAAAUAGAGAAGGGAAAACUGCUACCAAACACCGGGAAUUUCCUCCCCAUUUAUAUCCAUCUUUCUUUUCCACUUUCCUCUUAACUAUUGCAAAUCAAAUUCUUUGCAAUCUUAAGCAGCCAUGUUCAUUCUGUUUAUGAAACCCAGUCUAAAAAAGAGAAAGGAUGGGAGGACCCUAACAAGGAAACUGAAAUUUAACAAUGGGCUCCAUUGGGAAAAAUAAAGACAUUUUUAAAUUUAAGACCAAAUUGAGUUCUUUCUCCUGUGCUUUUCUCUCUUGCUUUUGGCUUUUUUUCUUUCUUCUUCACUUCCCCUCUCUAAUGAUCUCUAUUUCACUUUCCUCACUAUUUUUCUUUUCGCCCUCUGGCUCCCUCCUCUCAUGUCAAAUCUUUUACCUCCCUCAAACUUGUGCCUCAUCUGUCUCCCCCUUUCUCAGGGGAAUGGAUGUGAGGAAAGGAAAGUAAAACAGAAAAAGAAAAGGCCAAUGGAAAAAAACAUGUAAGACAACCUAAAGAUAAAUACAAACUACUAAACUAAAAAAUAAGAACAACUCAAGAAAUAAUAACCAACAGAAGAGAAAAACAAGGCAGUGUCUUCCAUGUGGCAGAAAUAAAGGCUACUACUAAUCAA